CCGGGGAGGAGGCGGAGGGCAGGCACGGGGCCGGCGGCGGGCACGGCGGGCAGGGAUGCCGAGGCUCCCGGCCCCCCUGGUGUGCCUGGCGCUGCUGCCUGCGCUCGCUGCUAGAGGCCUGCGCUGCUCCCAGCCCGGCGUGACUGCCUGCCAGAACGGUGGGAGGUGUGAAGUGCACAACGACACAGAGGCCUGCGUGUGAGUAGCCCCUGUGGGGACCUGUUGCUUUUGUUGGGAACGAGCCCCUGCCUUCUGGGGACUGAACACUGGGCCAUUGUCUUCUGGUGGCAGCCCAUGGCUGGGUGAGGUCACGUGCUAACUUUUAUUGGACAAAGUCUGGCAAUUACUUAAUCACCAGCAAUUAU
This 365-nucleotide long non-coding RNA is filed under the name Heterocephalus glaber (naked mole-rat). RNAcentral's name for it is "lncRNA (ENSHGLG00100051341.1)". Lineage: Eukaryota; Metazoa; Chordata; Mammalia; Rodentia; Bathyergidae. The record is from RNAcentral.